UUGAUCUCAGGUCGGGCGGGAGCACCCGCCAAAUUUAAGCAUAUAACAAGGCGGAGGAAGAGAAACCAACGAGGAUUCCCUUGGUAGUGGCGAGAAAACCAGAAAUAGCCCAGACUGAAAAUUUGGGGGCUCUGUUGCUCCAUGAAUUGUAGUCUUGAGAGGCAACCUCUGCAUUAGGCCGUGUGCAGGUUCCCUGGAAGGGGACGCCGAAGAKGGUGACAGCCCCGUCGACCGCCGGACCCUGCUGCACAACGAGGUGUUCUCCAAGAGUCGAGUUGCUGGGAAUGGAGCCCCAAUUGGGUGGUAAGUCCCAUCCAAGGCUAAAUAUGUGUGAGGGACCAAUAGCGAAGAAGUCCCGGGAGGGAAGGAUGAAAAGAACUUUGAAAAGAGAGUUAAAGAGUGCCUGAAAUUGCCGAGCGAGAAGCGGAUGGAGGGAAAGUCGUGCGCUCCCGUCAGGGCAGGGGUGGACGGCGACUAUGUUGUCGGCCCCCUUGUUGGACGUGAGGUGCCUGCCAACAUGGGCUGCUGCGACCGACAUUGCGGUAGGGAGCGAUUGAAACCCCCCAUGAGUGGUCGUCACUGCAGUCGAGGACCUUGAGCACGUUCCUCUUUCGGCGGGCCCGUUCGGGUUCUUGCGUGUUCGGGAUGCUAGCGAAAUUACUCUAUGCUGCCCGUCUUGAAACACGGACCGAGGAGUUCAACGUGCACGCGAGCCGGUGGGUGAUUAGCCCAUGAGGCGGAAGAAACCUGAGUGGCAGGAACCCUCUGCGGGUGCACCGUCCGCCAACCACGAUCUGUUGUGAGAGGUUUGAGCGUAAGCAUGGCCAUUGGGAUCCGAAAGAUGGUGACCUAUGCCUAAGCAGGGCGAGGCCAGAGGAAACUCUGGUGGAGACUUGCACCGAUACUGACGUGCAAAUCGUUCGUCGGACUUGGGUAUAGGGGCGAAAGACUAAUCGAACCGUCUAGUAGCUGGUUCCCUCCGAAGUUUYCCUCAGGAUAGCUGGAGCUGUUGAACAGUUUUAUCGGGUAAAGCGAAUGAUUAGAGGCCUCGGGGGUGAAACACCCUCGACCUAUUCUCAAACUUUACAUAGGAAAGAUUUCUGGGUUGCUUAAGCGAACCCGGAGAAUCAAUGAAAGCUCCAAGUGGGCCAUUUUUGGUAAGCAGAACUCACGAUGCGAGAUGAACCAAAAGUCGAACUACGGUGCCAAACUCCGUGCUAACCUAGACACCACAAAGGGUGUUGAUUGAUACAGACAGYAGGACGGUGGUCAUGGAAGUCGAAAUCUGCUAAGGAGUGUGUAACAAGUCACCUGUCGAAUCAAUCAGCCCCAAAAAUGGAUGGCGCUGAAGCGUGCGACCUAUCCUCGGCCGUCGCGGCGAUUCUGACGCCGCGACGAGUAGGAGGGCGGGGGGCCUGUUGUGAAGCCUGGAGUGUGAGCCUAGGUGAAGCGGGUCCUGGUGCAGAUCUUGGUAAUAGUAGCAAAUAUUCAAAUGAGAACUUUGAAGACCGAAGUGGAGAAGGUUCCAUGUGAACAACGGUUGGACAUGGGUCAGUCGGCCCUAAGAGAUGUGGAAACCUUGUAUCAAGGGCGCACUGCGCGCCCCACAUCGAAAGGGGGUCGGGUURAUAUUCCCGAACCGGGUUGUGGAGGUGGACGGUAACAUAAGCGGCUCCGGAGAUGUCGGCGGGGGCCGUGGGGAGGGUUCUCUUUCCUUCUUGAUGGCUCACCCACCGUGGAAUCGGAUCAACCGGCGAUAGGAUGCAGCGCCCGACAAAGCACCACGCGUCCUGUGGUGUCUAGCGCGCCCCCGACGGCCCUUGAAAAUCUGGAGUUGAGGGUACCUCUCACGCCCGGCCGUACUCAUAACCGCAUCAGGUCUCCUAGGUGAGCAGCCUCUGGUCAAAGGAAGAAYGUAGGUAAGGGAAGUCGGCAAUAUGGAUCCGUAACCUUGGGAAAAGGUUUGGCUCUACGCUGGGCCUAGGGGUCUGCGCCUCGUUGUUGUUGGCUGCUGGUGGUCUGCCCAAGCUGCUAUCCGAGUUGAGGCGAAGGCAGAGCCCGCGUGCCAGUGUGCCGACGGGCGUAGAAUGUCUUAUGUCCCCACCUUUAGGGUGGGGCCGUGGGACUCUCCUUAAGCAUCAAACUGCCGACUCGGAACUGGUGCGGACAAGGGGAAUCCGACUGUUUAAUUAAAACAAAGCAUUGCGAUGGUCCCAACAGAUGUUGACGCAAUGUGAUUUCUGCCCAGUGCUCUGAAUGUCAAAGUGAAGACAUACUACUACUUUUAACGUUAUUUUAAACGUAUGUACAUAGUACACUUUUAACUUUAUUUUACUUAUUUCGUGAGGGUCUUACGGCGCAAGUGAAAUACUACUACUUUUUAUCGUUCUUACUUAUUUCGUGAGGUGGAGCUGGGGCUCUGCCCCUGCUUCUCGGUCCAAGGUGCAGGCCCUCAUGGCCUGUCCGAUCCAAGCGAAAGACAUUGUCAGGUGGGGAGUUUGGCUGGGGCGGCACAUYUGUUAGAAGAUAACGCAGGUGUCCUAAGAUGAGCUCAACGAGAACAGAAAUCUCGUGUGGAGCAAAAGGGCAAAAGCUCAUUUGAUUUUGAUUUCCAGUACGAAUGCGAACUGUGAGAGUGUGAGUGGCGGAUGGCCCAGUGGUUAGGGCACCAGUUGGAAAUGCACAUUGUGGUCUGAGGUUGCGGGUUCAAAUUCGCAACCUUGUGCAUAUUCCACCGGCACGGCGUUAGGUUGACAC
RNAcentral lists this ribosomal RNA (2757 nucleotides) under Chara braunii. Its description in RNAcentral is "eukaryotic LSU rRNA". Lineage: Eukaryota; Viridiplantae; Streptophyta; Charophyceae; Charales; Characeae. The record is from RNAcentral.